AUUGAACGCUGGCGGCAUGCUUUACACAUGCAAGUCGAACGGCAGCGCGGGCUUCGGCCUGGCGGCGAGUGGCGAACGGGUGAGUAAUGCAUCGGAACGUGCCCAGUAGUGGGGGAUAGCCCGGCGAAAGCCGGAUUAAUACCGCAUACGCCCUGUGGUUGAAAGCGGGGGACCGAAAGGCCUCUCGCUUUUUUAGCUGCCGAUGUCGUAUUUGCUAGUUGGUGGGGUAAAGGCUUACCAAGGCUACGAUCCGUAGCUGGUCUGAGAGGACGACCAGCCACAAUGGGACUGAGACACGGCCCAGACUCCUACGGGAGGCAGCAGUGGGGAAUUUUGGACAAGGGGGGCAACCCUGAUCCAGCCAUGCCGCGUGAGGGAAGAAGGACUUCGGGUUGUAAACCGAUUUUGUUCGGGAAGAAAUACUCUGGGCUAAUACCCCGGGGGGAUGACGGUACCGGAAGAAUAAGCACCGGCUAACUACGUG
This 484-nucleotide ribosomal RNA is filed under the name uncultured bacterium. RNAcentral describes it as "partial 16S ribosomal RNA". It matches the Rfam family "Bacterial small subunit ribosomal RNA", at positions 30 to 507 of the family's 1533-position model. The record is from RNAcentral.